This is a non-coding RNA of Schistosoma rodhaini, 45 nucleotides long. Lineage: Eukaryota; Metazoa; Platyhelminthes; Trematoda; Strigeidida; Schistosomatidae. The record is from Rfam.
AUCCAGCUGACGAGUCCCAAAUAGGACAAAACACGUAUCCUAGAU